CCCGGCCGACAAGACGGUGGAGGCAUGUGGUUAAUUCGAAGCAACGCGAAGAACUUACCAGGCCUUGACAUGCAGAGAACUUUCCAGAGAUGGAUUGGUGCCUUCGGGAACUCUGACACAGGUGCUGCAUGGCUGUCGUCAGCUCGUGUCGUGAGGUGUUGGGGUUAAGUCCCGUAACGAGCGCAACCCUUGUCCUUAGUUACCAGCACGUUAUGGUGGGCACUCUAAGGAGACUGCCGGUGACAAACCGGAGGAAGGUGGGGAUGACGUCAAGUCAUCAUGGCCCUUACGGCCUGGGCUACACACGUGCUACAAUGGUCGGUACAAAGGGUUGCCAAGCCGCGAGGUGGAGCUAAUCCCAUAAAACCGAUCGUAGUCCGGAUCGCAGUCUGCAACUCGACUGCGUGAAGUCGGAAUCGCUAGUAAUCGCGGAUCAGCCAAGCCGCGGUGAAUACGUUCCCGGGCCAU
Molecule: ribosomal RNA, 468 nt
Filed under: uncultured Pseudomonas sp.
Lineage: Bacteria; Pseudomonadati; Pseudomonadota; Gammaproteobacteria; Pseudomonadales; Pseudomonadaceae
Description: bacterial SSU rRNA
Rfam family: Bacterial small subunit ribosomal RNA
Source: RNAcentral